UGAACAAAAAAUAGUCUGUCUCGUUGUUAAAAUUAAAAUUUGACUUUUAAGUAAAAAGGCUUAAAUAAAAUAGAAUGACGAUAAGACCCUAUAAAGCUUUAUAUUAAAAAAAUAACUAAUAAUUAAAAUUUAAAAAUUGUUUAUUUAGAAAAUAUUGUGUUGGGGCGACAAAAAUAAAAAUUGUAACUGUUUAUUUAUUAAAAACUUUUAAUAAAAGAAAAAAUGAUCCUUUAAUAAAGAUUAAAAGAUUAAGUUACUUUAGGGAUAACAGCGUAAUCUUUUUUGAGAGUUCAUAUCGACAAAAAGACUUGCGACCUCGAUGUUGAAUUAAGAAAUCCUUUUGGUGCAGCAGUCAAAAAG
RNAcentral lists this ribosomal RNA (360 nucleotides) under Anaspides spinulae. RNAcentral's name for it is "partial 16S ribosomal RNA". The stretch from base 264 to 360 matches the Rfam family "Bacterial large subunit ribosomal RNA", at positions 2473 to 2569 of the family's 2925-position model. The record is from RNAcentral. Lineage: Eukaryota; Metazoa; Arthropoda; Malacostraca; Anaspidacea; Anaspididae.